RNAcentral lists this ribosomal RNA (468 nucleotides) under uncultured bacterium. Its description in RNAcentral is "partial 16S ribosomal RNA". It matches the Rfam family "Bacterial small subunit ribosomal RNA", at positions 28 to 507 of the family's 1533-position model. The record is from RNAcentral.
GACGAACGCUGGCGGCGUGCUUAAUACAUGCCAGUCGAACGGAAAGGCCCUGCUUUUGUGGGGUGCUCGAGUGGCGAACGGGUGAGUAACACGUGAGUAACCUGCCCUUGAAUUUGGGAUAACUUCAGGAAACUGGGGCUAAUACCGGAUAGGAGCUCCUGCUGCAUGGUGUGGGUUGGAAAGUUUCGGCGGUUGGGGAUGGACUCGCGGGUUAUCAGCUUGUUGGUGGGGUAGUGGCUUACCAAGGCUUUGACGGGUAGCCGGCCUGGGAGGGUGACCGGCCACAUUGGGACUGCGAUACGGACCAGACUCCUACGGGAGGCAGCAGUGGGGAAUAUUGCACAAUGGGCGGAAGCCUGAUGCAGCAACGCCGCGUGCGUGAUGCCGGCCUUCGAGUUGUAAACCGCUUUCGCCUGUGACGAAGCGUGAGUGACGGUAAUGGGUCAAGAAGCACCGGCUAACUACGUG